RNAcentral lists this ribosomal RNA (1330 nucleotides) under uncultured bacterium. RNAcentral's name for it is "bacterial SSU rRNA". It matches the Rfam family "Bacterial small subunit ribosomal RNA", at positions 28 to 1381 of the family's 1533-position model. The record is from RNAcentral.
GACGAACGCUGGCGGCGCGCCUAACACAUGCAAGUCGAACGAGCGAGAGAGAGCUUGCUUUCUCGAGCGAGUGGCGAACGGGUGAGUAACGCGUGAGGAACCUGCCUCAAAGAGGGGGACAACAGUUGGAAACGACUGCUAAUACCGCAUAAGCCCACGGCUCGGCAUCGAGCAGAGGGAAAAGGAGCAAUCCGCUUUGAGAUGGCCUCGCGUCCGAUUAGCUAGUUGGUGAGGUAAUGGCCCACCAAGGCGACGAUCGGUAGCCGGACUGAGAGGUUGAACGGCCACAUUGGGACUGAGACACGGCCCAGACUCCUACGGGAGGCAGCAGUGGGGAAUAUUGCACAUUGGGGGAAACCCUGAUGCAGCGACGCCGCGUGGAGGAAGAAGGUCUUCGGAUUGUAAACUCCUGUUGUUGGGGAAGAUAAUGACGGUACCCAACAAGGAAGUGACGGCUAACUACGUGCCAGCAGCCGCGGUAAAACGUAGGUCACAAGCGUUGUCCGGAAUUACUGGGUGUAAAGGGAGCGCAGGCGGGAAGACAAGUUGGAAGUGAAAUCUAUGGGCUCAACCCAUAAACUGCUUUCAAAACUGUUUUUCUUGAGUAGUGCAGAGGUAGGCGGAAUUCCCGGUGUAGCGGUGGAAUGCGUAGAUAUCGGGAGGAACACCAGUGGCGAAGGCGGCCUACUGGGCACCAACUGACGCUGAGGCUCGAAAGUGUGGGUAGCAAACAGGAUUAGAUACCCUGGUAGUCCACACCGUAAACGAUGAUUACUAGGUGUUGGAGGAUUGACCCCUUCAGUGCCGCAGUUAACACAAUAAGUAAUCCACCUGGGGAGUACGACCGCAAGGUUGAAACUCAAAGGAAUUGACGGGGGCCCGCACAAGCAGUGGAGUAUGUGGUUUAAUUCGACGCAACGCGAAGAACCUUACCAAGUCUUGACAUCCCUUGCAAAAUCCUGGAGACAGGAGGGAGGUUAUCAAGGAGACAGGUGGUGCAUGGUUGUCGUCAGCUCGUGUCGUGAGAUGUUGGGUUAAGUCCCGCAACGAGCGCAACCCUUAUGGUCAGUUACUACGCAAGAGGACUCUGGCCAGACUGCCGUUGACAAAACGGAGGAAGGUGGGGAUGACGUCAAAUCAUCAUGCCCUUUAUGACUUGGGCUACACACGUACUACAAUGGCGUUAAACAAAGAGAAGCAAGACCGCGAGGUGGAGCAAAACUCAGAAACAACGUCCCAGUUCGGACUGCAGGCUGCAACUCGCCUGCACGAAGUCGGAAUUGCUAGUAAUCGUGGAUCAGCAUGCCACGGUGAAUACGUUCCCGGGCCU